AGUGAACGCUGGCGGUAGGCCUAACACAUGCAAGUCGAACGGCAGCACAGUAAGAGCUUGCUCUUACGGGUGGCGAGUGGCGGACGGGUGAGGAAUACAUCGGAAUCUACUUUUUCGUGGGGGAUAACGUAGGGAAACUUACGCUAAUGCCGCAUACGACCUACGGGUGAAAGCAGGGGAUCUUCGGACCUUGCGCGAAUGAAUGAGCCGAUGUCGGAUUAGCUAGUUGGCGGGGUAAAGGCCCACCAAGGCGACGAUCCGUAGCUGGUCUGAGAGGAUGAUCAGCCACACUGGAACUGAGACACGGUCCAGACUCCUACGGGAGGCAGCAGUGGGGAAUAUUGGACAAUGGGCGCAAGCCUGAUCCAGCCAUACCGCGUGGGUGAAGAAGGCCUUCGGGUUGUAAAGCCCUUUUGUUGGGAAAGAAAAGCAGCAGGUUAAUACCCCGCUGUUCUGACGGUACCCAAAGAAUAAGCACCGGCUAACUUCGUG
RNAcentral lists this ribosomal RNA (492 nucleotides) under uncultured bacterium. Its description in RNAcentral is "partial 16S ribosomal RNA". It matches the Rfam family "Bacterial small subunit ribosomal RNA", at positions 29 to 507 of the family's 1533-position model. The record is from RNAcentral.